This 305-nucleotide ribosomal RNA is filed under the name uncultured bacterium. RNAcentral's name for it is "partial 16S ribosomal RNA". It matches the Rfam family "Bacterial small subunit ribosomal RNA", at positions 335 to 642 of the family's 1533-position model. The record is from RNAcentral.
UUGCCUACGGGGGGCAGCAGUGGGGAAUAUUGCACAAUGGGGGAAACCCUGAUGCAGCGACGCCGCGUGAGUGAAGAAGUAUCUCGGUACGUAAAGCUCUAUCAGCAGGGAAGAAAAAAAGUCUUUGGCUUUGGACGGUACCUGACUAAGAAGCCCCGGCUAACUACGUGCCAGCAGCCGCGGUAAUACGUAGGGGGCAAGCGUUAUCCGGAUUUACUGGGUGUAAAGGGAGCGUAGACGGCGCGGCAAGUCUGAAGUGAAAGGCAGGGGCUUAACCCCUGAACUGCUUUGGAAACUGCCAUGCU